GACGAACGCUGGCGGCGUGCUUAACACAUGCAAGUCGAACGGAAAGGCCCUGCUUUUGUGGGGUGCUCGAGUGGCGAACGGGUGAGUAACACGUGAGUAACCUGCCCUUGUCUUUGGGAUAACUUCAGGAAAAUGGGGCUAAUACCGGAUAGGAUCUCCUGCUGCAUGGUGGGGGUUGGAAAGUUUCGGCCGUUGGGGAUGGACUCGCGGGUUAUCAGCUUGUUGGUGGGGUAGGUGCUUACCAAGGCUUUGACGGGUAGCCGGCCUGUGAGGGUGACCGGCGUCCUGGGUCCUGCGGUACGCCCCAGACUGGUACGGUAGGCAGAGGUGGGGAAUCUUGCGCAGUGGGCGGACGCCUGAUACGGCGGCCUCCCGUGCGGAAUGCCCGCCUUUUGGUUAUAAACAGCUGUCGCCUGAGACGAAGCGGGAGUGACGGUACUGGAUAAAGAAGCACCGGCUAACUACGUG
This 468-nucleotide ribosomal RNA is filed under the name uncultured bacterium. RNAcentral's name for it is "partial 16S ribosomal RNA". It matches the Rfam family "Bacterial small subunit ribosomal RNA", at positions 28 to 507 of the family's 1533-position model. The record is from RNAcentral.